RNAcentral lists this long non-coding RNA (252 nucleotides) under Oryza brachyantha (malo sina). Its description in RNAcentral is "long non-coding RNA (OBRA_LNC000752)". The record is from RNAcentral. Lineage: Eukaryota; Viridiplantae; Streptophyta; Magnoliopsida; Poales; Poaceae.
GCGCCAGCGGACGCUUUGCCGGAUCCGGCGGAGGCGUCCAUGCGUGCGAGCGAGCGAGCGAGCGGGCGACCGAAUCCGCGCGUGCGAGGACGGCGGCGGGGGGGACGCCGAAUUGCUACCGCGGCUGCAUCGAAUUGGGAAGGGAGGCGGAGAGGAGAGGAGGCGAUGGAUUUGAAGGGCGCUUGGGAAAAAGGGAGAGGAAAAAAAUAAAUAAAACAGAGAAGUUUUUAUUCCGCGAGAGGGGAGGACGGA